UACGGGGGGGGCAAGCGUUGUUCGGAAUUACUGGGCAUAAAGGGCUCGUAGGUGGCCAACUAAGUCAGACGUGAAAUCCCUCGGCUUAACCGGGGAACUGCGUCUGAUACUGGAUGGCUUGAGUUCGGGAGAGGGAUGCGGAAUUCCAGGUGUAGCGGUGAAAUGCGUAGAUAUCUGGAGGAACACCGGUGGCGAAGGCGGCAUCCUGGACCGGUAUUGACACUGAUGAGCGAAAGCCAGGGGAGCAAACGGG
RNAcentral lists this ribosomal RNA (253 nucleotides) under uncultured bacterium. RNAcentral describes it as "partial 16S ribosomal RNA". It matches the Rfam family "Bacterial small subunit ribosomal RNA", at positions 524 to 776 of the family's 1533-position model. The record is from RNAcentral.